GAGUAACACGUGGACAAUCUGCCCCCCGGCCCGGGAUAGCCCUAGGGAAACCUGGAUUAAUACCGGAUGAGACGGGACCCGCGAUGGCGGGACCCGGGAAAGGCGCUGCGGCGCCGCCGGGGGAUGAGUCUGCGUCCCAUUAGCUAGACGGCGGGGUAACGGCCCACCGUGGCGACGAUGGGUAGCCGGCCUGAGAGGGUGGACGGCCACAUUGGAACUGAGACACGGUCCAGACUCCUACGGGAGGCAGCAGCUAAGAAUCUUCCGCAAUGGGCGAAAGCCUGACGGAGCGAACCGCCGCGUGAACGAAGAAGGCCGUGAGGUUGUAAAGUUCUUUUCGGGAGGGGGAACAACCGUGGCAGGGAAUUGGCCGCGGGAUGACGUGAAUCCCGGAAUAAGCCCCGGCUAACUACGUGCCAGCCGCCGC
This 427-nucleotide ribosomal RNA is filed under the name uncultured bacterium. RNAcentral describes it as "bacterial SSU rRNA". It matches the Rfam family "Bacterial small subunit ribosomal RNA", at positions 108 to 518 of the family's 1533-position model. The record is from RNAcentral.